Molecule: ribosomal RNA, 253 nt
Filed under: uncultured bacterium
Lineage: Bacteria
Description: partial 16S ribosomal RNA
Rfam family: Bacterial small subunit ribosomal RNA
Source: RNAcentral
UACGUAGGGUCCGAGCGUUGUCCGGAAUUACUGGGCGUAAAGAGCUCGUAGGUGGUUUGUCGCGUUGUUCGUGAAAACUCACAGCUCAACUGUGGGCGUGCGGGCGAUACGGGCAGACUUGAGUACUGCAGGGGAGACUGGAAUUCCUGGUGUAGCGGUGGAAUGCGCAGAUAUCAGGAGGAACACCGGUGGCGAAGGCGGGUCUCUGGGCAGUAACUGACGCUGAGGAGCGGAAGCGUGGGGAGCGAACAGG